UACGUAGGCGGAAAAUUAAGUCAGUAGUGAAAUCCUGCAGCUUAACUGUAGAACUGUUAUUGAUACUGGUUUUCUUGAAUAUAGUUGAAGUAGGCGGAAUGUGUAAUGUAGCGGUGAAAUGCUUAGAUAUUACACAGAACACCGAUUGCGAAGGCAGCUUACUAAGCUAUGAUUGACGCUGAGGCACGAAAGCGUGGGGAGCGAACAGGAUUAGAUACCCUGGUAGUCC
This 229-nucleotide ribosomal RNA is filed under the name uncultured bacterium. RNAcentral's name for it is "partial 16S ribosomal RNA". It matches the Rfam family "Bacterial small subunit ribosomal RNA", at positions 568 to 796 of the family's 1533-position model. The record is from RNAcentral.